This 492-nucleotide ribosomal RNA is filed under the name uncultured bacterium. Its description in RNAcentral is "partial 16S ribosomal RNA". It matches the Rfam family "Bacterial small subunit ribosomal RNA", at positions 29 to 507 of the family's 1533-position model. The record is from RNAcentral.
AGUGAACGCUGGCGGUAGGCCUAACACAUGCAAGUCGAACGGCAGCACAGUAAGAGCUUGCUCUUACGGGUGGCGAGUGGCGGACGGGUGAGGAAUACAUCGGAAUCUACUUUUUCGUGGGGGAUAACGUAGGGAAACUUACGCUAAUACCGCAUACGACCUACGGGUGAAAGCAGGGGAUCUUCGGACCUUGCGCGAUUGAAUGAGCCGAUGUCGGAUUAGCUAGUUGGCGGGGUAAAGGCCCACCAAGGCGACGAUCCGUAGCUGGUCUGAGAGGAUGAUCAGCCACACUGGAACAGAGACACGGUCCAGACUCCUACGGGAGGCAGCAGUGGGGAAUAUUGGACAAUGGGCGCAAGCCUGAUCCAGCCAUACCGAGUGGGUGAAGAAGGCCCUCGGGUUGUAAAGCCCUUUUGUUGGGAAAGAAAAGCAGCAGGUUAAUACCCCGCUGUUCUGACGGUACCCAAAGAAUAAGCACCGGCUAACUUCGUG